This is a long non-coding RNA of Myotis davidii, 666 nucleotides long. RefSeq lists it as uncharacterized. Lineage: Eukaryota; Metazoa; Chordata; Mammalia; Chiroptera; Vespertilionidae. The record is from RefSeq and is a predicted model, not a curated record. The transcript has 3 exons.
UUUUUCUCAUCUAACUUCCAGUUCAUUAAUUCUCUUCUUAUUGAGUCUAAUCUCCUAUUUUAGCAAACCAUUAACAAUUUUUAUUUCAAUUUAUUAUAUUUGUUAUUUCUAGAAGCCUAUUCAUUUUCUUUAAAUUGCUUAAUCAUUUUAUAGUCUCAUUUCCAUCAUCCUUCUUCUGAGGAUUCAGGUUUUGUUUUUUUUUAACAAAAUAAACAUUCUGUUUUACAAUAGUGUCUGAUAUUUUCACAGGUGAAAUCUUUGACAGUCUGAUUCUUCCGUCCUCUAAUCCUGACGUAUUUCAUCUUUUAAGCCUUUUUUUUUGUUGGCAUUUCUUGCAAACUCCUUUUAAAUGUGUUUCUCAUUAUUUUCCUUGGAAACUUUACCAGUAGGAAUUCCUGGAGACCUAGGUUAAAGUUGUGUUCCCUCAGAGAGGUCUCCCGUAUGCUUCUGCCAGUUGCCUGGUGGUACUACCCAUCUGGAGAUCACUUAAAAUUCAAUUCUCCACUUGAAUUUCAAUUUUAACAUGCAGGUGGACUCAGAAAAUAUUUUGCCAGAAGGAGCAAGUUUGUUAUUUGAUACAGAGAGCAUCAGCAGAACCCUGGGAGGCAUACAGUCAUCUGAACCUGACCCAUAACUGCAGGGAACAAGCCAGAUAAGAAAAUGACA